AAGACCUUGCGCUUUUGGAGCGGCCGAUGCCUGAUUAGCUAGUUGGUGGGGUAAUGGCCUACCAAAGCUUCGAUCAGUAGCUGGUCUGAGAGGACGGCCAGCCACACUGGGACUGAGACACGGCCCAGACUCCUACGGGAGGCAGCAGUGGGGAAUUUUGGACAAUGGGCGCAAGCCUGAUCCAGCCAUGCCGCGUGAGUGAAGAAGGCCUUCGGGUUGUAAAGCUCUUUCAGCCGGGAAGAAAAGGUUGCGAUUAAUAAUCGCAAUUUAUGACGGUACCGGAAGAAGAAGCACCGGCUAACUACGUGCCAGCAGCCGCGGUAAUACGUAGGGUGAGAGCGUUAAUCGGAAUUACUGGGCGUAAAGGGUGCGCAGGCGGUUUUGUAAGUCAGAUGUGAAAUCCCCGGGCUUAACCUGGGAACU
RNAcentral lists this ribosomal RNA (423 nucleotides) under uncultured bacterium. Its description in RNAcentral is "bacterial SSU rRNA". It matches the Rfam family "Bacterial small subunit ribosomal RNA", at positions 207 to 622 of the family's 1533-position model. The record is from RNAcentral.